CCGCAUAAGCGCACAGAGCUGCAUGGCUCAGUGUGAAAAACUCCGGUGGUAUAAGAUGGACCCGCGUUGGAUUAGCUGGUUGGUGGGGUAACGGCCCACCAAGGCGACGAUCCAUAGCCGGCCUGAGAGGGUGAACGGCCACAUUGGGACUGAGACACGGCCCAGACUCCUACGGGAGGCAGCAGUGGGGAAUAUUGCACAAUGGGGGAAACCCUGAUGCAGCGACGCCGCGUGAAGGAAGAAGUAUCUCGGUAUGUAAACUUCUAUCAGCAGGGAAGAUAGUGACGGUACCUGACUAAGAAGCCCCGGCUAACUACGUGCCAGCAGCCGCGGUAAUACGUAGGGGGCAAGCGUUAUCCGGAUUUACUGGGUGUAAAGGGAGCGUAGACGGUGUGGCAAGUCUGAUGUGAAAGGCAUGGGCUCAACCUGUGGACUGCAUUGGAAACUGUCAUACUUGAGUGCCGGAGGGGUAAGCGGAAUUCCUAGUGUAGCGGUGAAAUGCGUAGAUAUUAGGAGGAACACCAGUGGCGAAGGCGGCUUACUGGACGGUAACUGACGUUGAGGCUCGAAAGCGUGGGGAGCAAAGAGGAUUAGAUACCCUGGUAGUCCACGCCGU
Molecule: ribosomal RNA, 616 nt
Filed under: uncultured bacterium
Lineage: Bacteria
Description: bacterial SSU rRNA
Rfam family: Bacterial small subunit ribosomal RNA
Source: RNAcentral